UUAGGUGUGCAAGUUCUGUAUGUGUGCGUGUGUGCAUACAUACACACACACAUGCACACUAC
Molecule: microRNA precursor, 62 nt
Filed under: Microtus ochrogaster (prairie vole)
Lineage: Eukaryota; Metazoa; Chordata; Mammalia; Rodentia; Cricetidae
Description: miRNA (ENSMOCG00000010392.1)
Source: RNAcentral